GGAUAGAGGUGCGGUAUUGCGUGUAAUCCGGAGUAGGUUGCCAGAACUGUUGAUCCCGUUUGAAUAGCACUGCCGCCGAAAGAAAACUGCCGGCUGCUUUUUUCUUGGUUGUAUGCCACAGUGGUAUAUGACUGUCAUCAUACGCUGUUUGAUGGAGAGCUAUCAU
This 166-nucleotide non-coding RNA is filed under the name bovine gut metagenome. RNAcentral's name for it is "Lysine riboswitch". It matches the Rfam family "Lysine riboswitch aptamer". Rfam says of the family: Riboswitches are metabolite binding domains within certain messenger RNAs that serve as precision sensors for their corresponding targets. The record is from RNAcentral.